UAAAGCGUCCCGUGUAUAUAAAUAUAUAUAUUCUUCCUCUCUCCCAUCCCCACCACCCCAUCGCCCAAUUGUACAUAUCAUUUUCCUCUAGACCAAACAAAAAAAAAAAAAAAAAAAAACAACAACAACGCCUCUCUCUGUAGUCCUCCCUCCAUGAAUCUCUGAUCGGGGUGUAAUGUGGUUUUCGCGCACAAUGUCUCGCUAAUUUACACAUGCAUUGUACAAGGUAUGAUGAUGACGACGAGCAAAUAAAGUGUACUAAUUGGCGGAGACUCACAUUAAACACACCGAUCUGGGUAAAAAAAUCAAGAGGAAUGGAGGUGCAGAGGAUGAGGCAGUUGAUGUUAUUAUGGUCUAGAAUGCAAAGCGCUCGUGUGGCCCUCGUGGGUGGGAAUCACACAGCCGCCCGGUUUUGCACUCGCUAAAUUAUUUUCGCUCUUCGUGUGGCCCUCUCCCUCUCUCUCCCAAAACAAUCAUUCAUCUGCUCUCUUUUCUUUUUUUUUUCUCACAAUUCAAUCUUUUACCUGUCCGACCGAAUUAUUAGUCUAGAAAUUCUCAAACUUGCACACAGUAUUAAUACCCAAAUUUUUUUCGCAACU
Molecule: long non-coding RNA, 599 nt
Filed under: Malus domestica (apple)
Lineage: Eukaryota; Viridiplantae; Streptophyta; Magnoliopsida; Rosales; Rosaceae
Description: long non-coding RNA (MDOM_LNC007711)
Source: RNAcentral